GACGAACGCUGGCGGCGCGCUUAACACAUGCAAGUCGAACGGAAAGGCCUGCUUUCCCUUGUGGAUUGCGGGUACUCGAGUGGCGAACGGGUGAGUAACACGUGAGUGAUCUGCCCCCAACUUGGGUAUAAGCCUGGGAAACUGGGUCUAAUUCCCGAUAGGACUGCAGGGUGGUGCCUGUGGUGGAAAACGAUUUUCUAGUGGUUGGGGAUGAGCUCGCGGCCUAUCAGCUUGUUGGUGGGGUAAUGGCCUACCAAGGCGGCGACGGGUAGCCGGCCUGAGAGGGUGGACGGCAACAUUGGGACUGAGAUACGGCCCAGACUCCUACGGGAGGCAGCAGUGGGGAAUAUUGCACAAUGGGCGGAAGCCUGAUGCAGCGACGCCGCGUGGGGGAUGACGGCCUUCGGGUUGUAAACUCCUUUCGACCGCGAGGAAGCCACCUGGUUGGAAGGGUGGUGACGGUAGUGGUAGAAGAAGCACCGGCUAACUACGUG
RNAcentral lists this ribosomal RNA (494 nucleotides) under uncultured bacterium. RNAcentral's name for it is "partial 16S ribosomal RNA". It matches the Rfam family "Bacterial small subunit ribosomal RNA", at positions 28 to 507 of the family's 1533-position model. The record is from RNAcentral.